GUGUCAGCCGCCGCGGUAAGACGAACCGUCCAAACGUUAUUCGGAAUCACUGGGCUUAAAGGGUGCGUAGGCGGCCCUGAAAGUUGGGUGUGAAAUCCCUCGGCUCAACCGAGGAAUUGCGCCCAAAACUCCAGGGCUCGAGGAAGACAGAGGUGAGCGGAACUUGCGGUGGAGCGGUGAAAUGCGUUGAUAUCGCAAGGAACACCAGUAGCGAAAGCGGCUCACUGGGUCUUCCCUGACGCUGAAGCACGAAAGCUAGGGGAGCGAACGGGAUUAGAUACCCCGGUAGUCCUAGCUGUAAACGAUGAGCACUUGGUUGGAGGGUCCUCCAUAGCCUUCCAGCCGUAGCGAAAGUGUUAAGUGCUCCGCCUGGGGAGUAUGGUCGCAAGGCUGAA
Molecule: ribosomal RNA, 395 nt
Filed under: uncultured bacterium
Lineage: Bacteria
Description: bacterial SSU rRNA
Rfam family: Bacterial small subunit ribosomal RNA
Source: RNAcentral